CCUACGGGAGGCAGCAGUGGGGAAUAUUGCACAAUGGGGGAAACCCUGAUGCAGCGACGCCGCGUGAAGGAAGAAGGAUUUCGGUAUGUAAACUUCUAUCUGCAGGGAAGAAAAUGACGGUACCUGACCAAGAAGCCCCGGCUAACUACGUGCCAGCAGCCGCGGUAACACGUAGGGUGCAAGCGUUAUCCGGAUUUACUGGGUGUAAAGGGAGCGUAGGCGGUUUAGCAAGUCAGAAGUGAAAGCCCGGGGCUCAACUCCGGGACUGCUUUUGAAACUGGUGAACUAGAUUGCAGGAGAGGUAAGUGGAAUUCCUAGUGUAGCGGUGAAAUGCGUAGAUAUUAGGAGGAACUCCAGUGGCGAAGGCGGCUUACUGGACUGUAAAUGACGCUGAGGCUCGAAAGCGUGGGGAGCAAACAGGAUUAGAUACACUAGUAGUC
This 440-nucleotide ribosomal RNA is filed under the name uncultured bacterium. Its description in RNAcentral is "partial 16S ribosomal RNA". It matches the Rfam family "Bacterial small subunit ribosomal RNA", at positions 338 to 795 of the family's 1533-position model. The record is from RNAcentral.